GAGAGAGGCUCAGCGUUUGGUCUUCAGAGUGUGCAUUGGAGGACUGUAAAAUGUAAAUCCUGGAGACAUUUGCACUCUUUACUGAUGCCUUCCCCUUGUGUGAAUGGGGUUACCUUUAGGCUUAGUGGCAACAGAGUGGUACUGGCAUGGAGUUCAACCACCUCAGGAUAGGAAUACACAGAGGCACAUUAUCCUGCAGAAACAUUGCGCAAUACCGCUGAGAGAAUUGUCAACAAGCUGUACCAAAUCUAACUUCACUGAAGAAAGCAAGUGAGUGUGAAGCAGAUCACAGCAGCUGACUCUCUGGGAAAUUUGUAGUUUAUGUUGAUCCUGAGAGAAUGAGAGAGUCUGUCAGAUGAAGGAGUUUCUCUCCACUCAUUCACCUCAGGGGCAGGCAGAGAGAAGUGGAGCUCUCUUAUUCCCCUCUUUUACACUCCUAUACUCUAAGGGGCUGUACGGUCAUGAAUUUCAGAGUAUUAGUAAUUUCCUCUACUGUAUAUGCUGAUGAUGAAGAAGAAAGUGAUGACGAACAGACAAACCUGUAGCAUUACCUACGUGCCUCUCUUUGUCAUUCAAACGAGGUCUCUAUGUUUCUUCCUAGGUUUUGGCCUUUUCCUAGCCACUGUGCUUCUACACCUUAAUUGCUUGCUGUUUGGGGUUUUAGGCUGGGUUUCUGUACAGCACUUUGAGAUAUCAGCUGAUAUACAAAGGGCUAUAUAAAUACAUUUGAUUUGAUUUGAAACGAGCAGUUGUAUACAGUUUAGAUAAUUUUAUACCCCGAGAACACAGAUGUAUCCUUUUCCAUUUGU
Oncorhynchus gorbuscha (pink salmon) is the source of this 809-nucleotide long non-coding RNA. RefSeq lists it as uncharacterized. The transcript is spliced from 3 exons. The record is from RefSeq and is a predicted model, not a curated record. Lineage: Eukaryota; Metazoa; Chordata; Actinopteri; Salmoniformes; Salmonidae.